GCAGUGCUAUGGAAAACAUCUUGCUUAGUGCCGGUACCAAAAGUAGCACGGCCCUGUGUCCCCAAUGACUACAGGCCAGUAGCGCUGACCGCUCACCUAAUGAAAGUUUUUGAGAGACUGAUCCUCCGAUCCAUUCGGCCCAUUGUCAAACCCUUCCUUAAUCCGUUACAGUUUGCCUACCAGCCUCAACUUGGAGUGGAUGAUGCCAUCGUCCACCUGCUACAUCGAACCUAUACUCACUUAGAGAAACCGAGGAGCUCUGUGAGGUUUAUGUUUUUUGACUUCUCUAGUGCCUUUAACACCAUCAGGCCCACCCUACUGGAGGAGAAGUUGAAGAACAUGCAGGUGUACACUCCUCUGGUCUCUUGGAUUAUGGACUACCUUACUGGCCGCCCCCAGUACGUCCGCAUACAGAACUGUGUGUCCGACACUGUGAUCUGCAGCACCGGUGCUCCUCAGGGGACAGUUCUUUCUCCCUUCCUCUUCACCCUGUAUACAUCUGAUUUUAUUUACAACUCCGAAUUCUGCCAUCUUCAGAAGUUCUCUGAUGACUCUGUGGUUGUAGGAUGUAUUCAGGGUGGUGACACCUCAGAGUAUCAGACGGUAGUGGACAACUUUGUUACCUGGAGUGAGCUAAACCACCUACACAAUGUCAGGAAAACAAAGGAACUUGUAGUGGACAUUAAAAAAUCCAGGACCGCCGUCACUCCUUUGUCUGUCCAUGGCGAGGAAGUGGAGAUUGUUGCAGAUUACAAAUACCUGGGAGUCCAUAUAGACAACAAACUGGACUGGCCGUCAAAUUCAACAGCACUCUUCAAGAAAGGUCAGAGCAGGCUGUAUUUUCUGAGGAGACUCAAGUCUUUUAACGUCUGCAACACCAUGCUGCAGAUGUUCUAUGAGUCUGUGGUGUUUAGUGUCAUUUUCUAUGCGGUGGUCUGUCGGGGAAGUAGUAUAAAGGUGGCAGACAGAAAUAAACUGAACAAACUAAUUAGGAGGGCUGGCUCUGUACUUGGCAUGGAGCUGGACCCUGUUCACGUUGUCAAUGCAAUUUAUUAUUAUUAUUACUGCCUAUUUAUUAAUACUAAGAUUAGUGUGCAAUACAUACUAUAUAACUACUGUACUUAAUUACCAUUACCAUACUGGACUUAUUAUACUCCACAUUUGUCAUUCCAUUCCACUUUAAUUAAUUUCAUAUUUGAUCUAAA
This 1205-nucleotide long non-coding RNA is filed under the name Sinocyclocheilus grahami. RNAcentral describes it as "lncRNA (ENSSGRG00000045120.1)". Lineage: Eukaryota; Metazoa; Chordata; Actinopteri; Cypriniformes; Cyprinidae. The record is from RNAcentral.